CUGGGAUCCUUUCCAAACUUGAGAUACUCUGAUUAACGUCGCCAUUUUUUACAGAUGAGGAAACUUGGGCUUGGCAUGGUUAAAUGGCUUUGCACAGACCCUACAUCAGUGAAGUGGCAGAGAUGAGCCGAGGACCUAUGUUUGUCUCCUAGGGGUAUUGGGAGGACCAAAUAACUUCUUCGGAAAUAUUAAGGCAUCAUAUAAUCAUCAGUUUGGAAGUCUGUGGGACAUAGGAUCCAGGAAAAGGAAAAGAAGGAAGAAAAAGAGGAAGAUGAUGGUGGUGGUGAUAUCUCAAGAGACAAUCCUCACAGUGACUCUGCAGGAUGAGCACUAUAGAUAUUAUUCUUGACAUUCUCCAGAAAAGGAAGCUUAGACUCAA
RNAcentral lists this long non-coding RNA (379 nucleotides) under Monodelphis domestica (gray short-tailed opossum). Its description in RNAcentral is "lncRNA (ENSMODG00000045019.1)". The record is from RNAcentral. Lineage: Eukaryota; Metazoa; Chordata; Mammalia; Didelphimorphia; Didelphidae.